AUUGAACGCUGGCGGCAUGCUUUACACAUGCAAGUCGAACGGCAGCGCGGGCUUCGGCCUGGCGGCGAGUGGCGAACGGGUGAGUAAUGCAUCGGAACGUGCCCAGUAGUGGGGGAUAGCCCGGCGAAAGCCGGAUUAAUACCGCAUACGACCUGAGGGUGAAAGCGGGGGACCGAAAGGCCUCGCGCUAUUGGAGCGGCCGAUGUCGGAUUAGCUAGUUGGUGGGGUAAAGGCUUACCAAGGCGACGAUCCGUAGCUGGUCUGAGAGGACGACCAGCCACACUGGGACUGAGACACGGCCCAGACUCCUACGGGAGGCAGCAGUGGGGAAUUUUGGACAUUGGGGGCAACCCUGAUCCAGCCAUGCCGCGUGCGGGAAGAAGGCCUUCGGGUUGUAAACCGCUUUUGUUCGGGAAGAAAUCCUCUGGGCUAAUACCCCGGGGGGAUGACGGUACCGGAAGAAUAAGCACCGGCUAACUACGUG
This 484-nucleotide ribosomal RNA is filed under the name uncultured bacterium. RNAcentral's name for it is "partial 16S ribosomal RNA". It matches the Rfam family "Bacterial small subunit ribosomal RNA", at positions 28 to 507 of the family's 1533-position model. The record is from RNAcentral.